CUGUUAUAAAAGCGAGAAAUGUUAUUUGUUUCCCCUUCGUGUGAGGUGAACUCCCCGAUAAAAUUUUACAAAUGUUCGCUGUCGAUCCUGCACCUUCUCAUUCUUCUAAGUUCUCUAGUUCAAUUACGGUGAACACAGCGUCCCACUCAGGAGUUCGUUAAAGGAUGCCACUUUGAGUGUGACGUCUCAAUGUCAAGAUGGAUGACUGUAUUUUAAAAGUGAACCCGUCAUUAGAAGUGGGAUCUGUAUCAACUCCCACGUUUUCGAAACGACAGUGGCGUGUAAUCUUCGAGAUGCAAAAUCGAAAUUUAAUUGAGUUAGCAAAAACUAUGCAGGCUACGCACGUGCAUAUAAACAAAAUACUGCUGUCACCAUGGCCCCUUUACGAUGGCUGUCACGUUGCCUUAAUUUAACCGCUAGGGAUGGCAAAAAAAAGGUAUUCCUCGAUUAAUGUAUCAAUCAAAUGAUUAAUUGUAUGAACAAAAAAUUAAUUUCAAUUUCAAUUGCAAGAUAUUAAUCGAUUAAUGCCUUUUUAUUAUAUCUUUUUUUGAUGUUAAAAUAAUGAACUAAGUUCAUUUAAAAUUUUUGUAUUGAUUAUAACCGCAUAUAUUACAUAUUUCACUUGCAAUAAUUUUCAAGUACAACUGCAAAAACAGUAGUUUUGAAAGAUUUUUGGUUGUUAAGCUGCUUGGGUUUUCCGAAGCUAUUGCUCCAGCUCUAGAAAAUAGACGAUUCGCGGGAUAAGAUCUAAAACUUGGCAAUUUGAAUAAAAGCUGAAAAAAUGAAUCGUUAUUCUGCCUCCGCCUUUUGCUAUGAAUAAUUUCGUCUGCAUCCCCCAUUUCAUUUCUCAAAAAUCUCAUUGUUGAGGCAACAGCUUAAGGAUCUGCAAAAUGUAUUUUUUUAAACCGUAUGUCGAGUAUAGUUGAAGCCGCUCCUAAAAAUAAAUGUUCAAUAGUCUCAAAUUCA
Long non-coding RNA from Bactrocera oleae (olive fruit fly), 966 nucleotides. RefSeq lists it as uncharacterized. NCBI's taxonomy places the organism in Eukaryota, Metazoa, Arthropoda, Insecta, Diptera, Tephritidae. The record is from RefSeq and is a predicted model, not a curated record.